UAUCUAUUGAUCUCUGGUAUUUCUUUUUGAUUCUUAGAAUUCCUAUCUCUGUGCUAACAUGUUCUGUUUUUACAUGUUUUUGCUUUAAAGCUUUUAGCAUAUUAAUCCUAGUGUUUUCAAAUUCCUUUCUGGUAAUUCCAACGUUCCUGCCAUGUCUGACUCUGGUUAUGAUGUGGUCAAGUCUCCUCACUCGGUGUUUUGCCUCUCAGUGUGCCCUGUGUUCUUUGGCUGAAAGGUGGACGUGAUGCUCUGGGUGGAAGGAGCUGCACUGGUGACCCUUCAGUGAUUGAUGGUCACAUGUAGGGGGGCGGCAGUCUGUGGUCCUUUGAUGAGGUCUCUGCUUUUGGCGAGUCUGUGCUCCUGGCCUGUGAACUCCAUGAGAACCUCUCAGUGUUCGCCCCUCAGGUCUUGUGAACAAGAACAGAAUCCUCUCGCACAUGCAACAUGGUUCUUUCCCCUCCCCCUGCUGGAAGACGGAGGGGAAUUCUCUCCAGUAUUCCCUUGAAGGACAUGCUAGAGCUCCUGGAGGAUGCCCCCUUCUGCUCAGCAUCUAAAACAAGGGUGUCCCGGAUGCCCUUCUCUCCUCUGUCUACAUCCAUGCCUGGGCAACCUCACCUGACCUCACAGCUUCACGCCACCUGUGCCAGACGCUCCCAGCCCUGCACCCAGCCCUGGCCUCGCCUGACAGACUCUGUCAACCCGACAGCUCCAAGCAGAUGUUCUAAUGAGAGUCUCAGCACCAUGGACAAGAGGUGCUGUCCUGACCCACCCAGGCCUUCCCCUCCCCGUCCCAGGCAUAGAGCUACCAUCCACCCAGGUGCUCGAGACAGAAAGAAAGUGUUGUCCAUGUGUAGUUGAAACUGCGCUUGACGGGCUUGUUCAUGUCGCUCCCUCUUCUCAGGGGACCCUUUCAGCCCCUGCCCACCCUUGUCUCCUGGAAAAUUCCUAUUUAUCCUUUAAGAAUCAGCUCCGGAUCCGCACCUCCAGGCAGAGCUGCUCACAUAAUCUUCCAGGCCCAGCACAAUGUGAAACCGUGGGCAGGGAGUCCACCACCACCCCAACCUGUGACAGGUUGGCCUGAGCCCCUAUCACCACCACCCCAACCUGCAACAGCUCUGCCUGAGCCCCUAUCACCACCACCCCAACCUGUAACAGCUCUGCCUGAACCCCCAUCACCACCACCCCAACCUGUAACAGCUCUGCCUGAGCCUCCAUCACCACCACCCCAACCUGUAACAGCUCUGCCUGAACCCCCAUCACCACCACCCCAACCUGCAACAGGUCGGCCUGAGCCCCCAUCACCACCACCCCAACCUGCAACAGCUCUGCCUGAGCCUCCAUCACCACCACCCCAACCUGUAACAGCUAUACCUGAACCCCCAUCACCACCACCCCAACCUGCAACAGGUCGGCCUGAGCCCCCAUCACCACCACCCCAACCUGUAACAGCUCUGCCUGAGCCCCCAUCACCACCACCCCAACCUGUAACAGCUCGGCCUGAGCCCCCAUCACCACCACCCUAACCUCUAACAGCUCGGCCUGAACCCCCAUCACCACCACCCCAACCUGCAACAGGUCGGCCUGAGCUCCCAUCACCACCACUGCCUCCAGCCUUCCUGUGUGCUCGCCGUCAUCCCGGUUCUGGUCCUAAGUAACUGUUGACAAUAACACUGAUAGAGAGAUGCGAGCUCAGACGUAUUUUAAACUCUGGACAGAUAGAAACUGGUUAUAUAAAACUCCAAAACUUGGAAAAAAUGGAGCAAAGAAAAUGCAGCAAAUUACAAAACAAAACGAAAGCGUGAAAGAGAACUAUCAAGGCAAAGUAAGACCGCGGAGACAGAUCUGAAGUCGUUCAGUCCUUGCGGUGAACGUGAGUGACUCUCAGAGCAGAUUGGAGUUGAGUGGUAUGCAUGUGAGCCAUUGAACAUGAAUGGCUCAGAAAGUCUGAGCAGUACGGAUUGGAGAAUGUGUCACAGGCUCAGAGCGUUAGGGUGCGUCCCCCUCUGAUCACAGGGACCCAGCAGAAACCCCAAGGGCACCCUGGGGAAUGGGGCCAUUGACCUUCUUACCUGGGGUUUGUGAACUUGGAUGGAAGACUGUUGCAUCUUUAUUUUCCUAUUCUUGAAGAGAAGUUUGGUAUUUCUUUCAAUCAUCAUAGGCAACAAGCUGUAGUAAUGGACGUAAUUCUGGAUUCCUAGGACUUCAGCGAGUACCACCACCCCUUUCUUCUAAGCCAGGAUCUUCAGGAGAGUAGCAGACAGAAAAAGAAACGAGCAAACCAAACUUUCUCCAUGGCAACGAGGCCAGCAAAUAGAGGGAAGGUGUCAAUCCAAAAAGCCAUGAAACGUGUGAGAGGCUUCUUCACCCAGCCCCACAGAAGCGGCCAGGAUGUCAGCCCAAGGACACGGAGGACUUGACCAGCGAAGUUGGGGCUGACUUUUGUGGAACUGUUGAUCUCCCUUCCUGUCAUAGAAAUCUAGAAUGCAGUGUGAUCCCAAGCACACAACAAUGGGAUUAAAAAACAAACAAGGGGCCGGUCCUGUGGCCCAGUGGCUAGGGUUGCACACGCUCCACUUGGGCAGCCCAGGUUUGCGGGUUCGGAUUCCGGUGCAGGCCUUCUCCACUCGUCGUCGUGCUGUAAAGGCAUCCCACAUGCAAAGUAGAGGAGGAUUGACACAGACUUCAGCUCAGGGCUAAUCUUCCUCACCAAAAAAAUAACCAAAAAAACAAACAAUAGAAAUUGCAGGAUGAUCUUAAGGAAGAAUCUAUGUAUAGGGUUUUUGUUUGUUUGUUUUAAUAAAGAAGAGUGAUGAAGGAG
Molecule: long non-coding RNA, 2818 nt
Filed under: Equus caballus (horse)
Lineage: Eukaryota; Metazoa; Chordata; Mammalia; Perissodactyla; Equidae
Description: lncRNA (ENSECAG00000044695.1)
Source: RNAcentral